AGAGAAUCAAAGUGCUGAUGUUUUUUGAUUGAUUUUUAUUUUCAGAUGUCAAUACAAUAUGCCUUCCAACAUCCGAACCAAAACUAUCGACAUUGUUUUCAACUAGUUUUAGGUUUUCAUAUCAACGCACUGAUGAGGACGGCACAUAUGUGAAUGGAAUACAUCAUUACUCAAGUCUGCAACAUUUUAGCCUGUCUUAUGGUGAAGCUCCUUCCCCGGACCAGAUGUUUGCUAUUUUCCAAGGAGCGCCAUUGCAGUUAGAGAGCGAGAGUGGCCAAAUGGUUCUUAUCGGAAUGGAAACCCGAAAGCAGUUUCGUAGAAAUGAGACUUAUGACUAUGCCAUUAUAGUUACCCCCGUUGCUGACUGGAUACGACAAGUUGUGGGAAUAAAGUAGACAGAUAAAACUGUUUCGUAA
Molecule: long non-coding RNA, 416 nt
Organism: Armigeres subalbatus
Lineage: Eukaryota; Metazoa; Arthropoda; Insecta; Diptera; Culicidae
Exons: 2
Source: RefSeq, a predicted model, not a curated record